Molecule: ribosomal RNA, 274 nt
Filed under: uncultured bacterium
Lineage: Bacteria
Description: partial 16S ribosomal RNA
Rfam family: Bacterial small subunit ribosomal RNA
Source: RNAcentral
CUUUCUCCGCCGGCGACCGGCGCACGGGUGAGUAACACGUAUGCAACCUGCCCCUGUCAGGGGGACAACCGCCGAAAGGCGGGCUAAACCCGCGUACAUGCCACCGGGGCAUCCCGGAGGCAGGAAAGGCUUCGGCCGGACAGGGAUGGGCAUGCGGCGCAUUAGGCAGUAGGCGGGGUAACGGCCACCUAACCGACGAUGCGUAGGGGUUCUGAGAGGAAGGUCCCCCACACUGGUACUGAGACACGGACCAGACUCCUACGGGAGGCAGCAG